AAUUAGCCAUGACACAAGAGUGAACUUUUGCUCGACAGAGCAGCAGCUCUGAAGCUGAGGUUUGCAAGAUGCAACUUGCCCAUGCAGUUCGGAAAGUCUACAGAAUUGCUGUGACUAACUGGAAUCCUGGUUCCCACAGAAGUAUGUACUCAACAUGGAAGGUCUCCUGCAUGGCUGACUGGAGCUCAGAGGAGCCCAGAUUGUUCCCUCUUCACAAGAUGUGGAAACCCUUUGAAGAACUGGGCUCCACAAAUCCCAGAGGUCAAAGUCCACAGCAACAAUGCCCACAAACAUCAUUAUACAUUGAGGCUGAGAAAGUGGCUGCCAGCUGCUACCACUCAUUUGAGACCGCUGGGAGACAAGAAGAGCCAGGCUUGAGUGAACACUGGAAAAAUUCACCCUUUGUCUUGGAGAGUACCCAAAUGCAGGGGCAGCUUUUACUCCUACCCAUCAAGCACCUCUGGAUGAUUCCACUCUCAAGCAGUUAUGAUUUUUUAGGUUCCCUUGGUGUCUGCUUCCCCAGGAAGUAUAUCAUAACUGUGAUUAAUAGCAAAGGCAUACCUCUAAAGAGUAGCAGUAUACAUUCAAUUCAGUGCAGAGAAACAAGCGUGUAAGUGAAUCUCCCCCACCCACUCCACUUGGCUGGACAGUAUGCCAACUCACUGAAGUAUGUCACCUUGAGGGUGCUACUGCAUCCUCUCUCUUGUAGGAGGUAAUUAGGAGAGGGAAAGGUGGGAAGUGUGCUUCUAGGAGAUAAUGUACAUCUCAACAAGCAGCUAGGCAGGAGAGAGAGAAAUGUGCCCAAAGGGCUUUACAUGACAUGUUAUCUUGGAGAAACACACUCUGUGGAACAUCGUCUGAUAGCUGGAUGGCCCCAAAGGAAAGCAAACUGGACUUUGGAUAUUCAUUUAUUCUGACACAUAAAAAAGGGUCAUUUCUUUUACCUCAAAUGCAAACACUAUUCUAAAAUGGAAAAGGCCCAAUUAAUAACUGCAAACGAACAUUGUGUCUGUUGCUUAAAUGCAAGCACUUGGAGGCAAGUCUACUUGGUGAACUGUUUGUGCAAAGUAACUUCCCACCUACUUUUGCAAUUUUAGCCAUCUCUGUGCAACUGCAAGAGAAGGGUUGCAUUGGAGUGCUUAAAUUGCUGGAGUGGUGUGACAAAUCGCUUUAUACAUAAAACUGCUUGCCACACAAAGCCACCACCACUUUGGAAUGUUUACACUAGCAAUCAGCCAUUACUUGCAACAGAAAAGUGGGCUUUAGUUUUCAGUGCAUAAACACUUUCAGAUCCAACCUAUCCCCACCUGUGCUUUCUAGAAUAGGCAUAGUGCAAUAGCCACCCAUCACCACCUUCCUAUGCCAUCUAUAUAUGUAUAUGGUAGCAGUUGGGGUGACUACAUAUCACUCUGGUUGCCCCACCUAAAAAAAAAGGAUAUUGCAGAACAGCAGAGGGUACAGAACCAGCACAACAGGUGGAUUGUCCUUGUGGAAAAAGGCUUUAAGGGCUAUUUAACUUAGAAAAAAAUUACUGAGGAGGGAAUGGAUAAAGAUCAUUAAUGGAGUAGGAAGAAUGACAAGGGGAAAUUGUCAGAAACCUCGAGGCUAUCCACUAAAAAAAGGCAUGCAUGUAAAUUAAACAAAUGCAUGUGUUUUUUCACAAUGCAUGAUUAGCUUAAUGGAACACUUUGCUACAUAAUGUUGUUACGCAACUAGAACACAGUUUUAAAAUCAGAGUAGAUAAAAUAUGGGAAGGACAGGAUAAUACAUGGCUCCUAACCAUGGCAUUCGGAAGGUCAAAUAUCAGAUAGGUACAUUAUCAUUUUUAUUCCCAGUUUGUACACGUUUCUAUGAUAUCUGGUUGGCCAUUGUCAGAAAAUCAGCUAUAUGGACUACUGAUCUGAUCCAGCACGGCAUUUCUUAUUGCUACUGUGAUAGGCUCAGCAAAACCUGUGCAAAUCCAUGAUGAAUGAAUGCAUAAGGGGGCAGAUCCCCCCCCAAUACAUUAAUACUGACAAGCUAUUUCUGCAAGAAUCUGGAUGUGAUUCUUUUCUACCUAGGAGGGAGCACAGAUUGGCCACAACUGUGCUCUUUGCAACUCGGCUCUGUUGUCCUCUUAUCACAUAAAGCACUGUGUUCUGCUUUCAGUAUUAAAACUCAGCAAAGCAGAGAAGGAUACAUGCCUGUUUUCCCCCCUCUCCCUCCACAUAUCUCACCCUCCUUCAUUCAGCUACUUCCCCCUCCCUGAAAAUUCCCCAUUUCCAAUCUCCUGGCUCUAUUUGACUAAAGAGACAACUGCACCACAGUCCAAGUGCACAUCUCCCUGCCCUGUGGUUGGCAUGGAAACAUAAAAUAUUCUGUGAGCACAAAUGCUCACUACAAAAGAUGCUACUUUCUGGGGAACCCUCGCCCAAGAUUCUCCAAACUGAGCUUCAUGUCUUCAAGGGUAUUUUUAGACACGUGCAUCUUAAGCUCAAGGGCCCUCAGGCAAGUGGGAAGGUCACAGCUAUGUAAGGGUCAAAGAACCCUCUCUAAAGCCCUGUGCACACAUUCAGACUGUAAGCAUGGGAACAGGGAUUGAAACCAUGGCAGCAGGUCUUGCCCUUUGGUGUGUCUGACCUCCAUGUGUUAGAGAACACCUCUGCAUAAUAGCCUAUGCAUUAAGAGCUGCCCCCAUUUCUUCCAGCUACAGAUUACACAGUUGGCUUGUCUGUUACUAUAGAAAUGUCCUCUAAAGCAUAGAAGUUGGGUGCACUAAGGGGAUCGGGGCUUGCCACCAUAAUUCUGAUUCCUCCCUCCCACUUUGACUGGCUUUGAACACCUGCACAAGAGGGGCCCCUCAGCUUGUCUGUCAAGCCACUGUAUCACACGGGGAGUCAUGCUGAGAUUUUAUUCUUUAUAUGUAGCUCAAUGGGAUAGAAUCCCCACCAUUAUUCACUGGUGAAGCAAAACCUCCAUCAGGCUGUGAAACAGCCUUAUAAUAAAAAAAACCAUUCCCCCCUAGUUACUUCACUCAUGUAGGCAACUGGGAUAUGAUGUAGUUUGUGUUCACUUACAGAUUUCUGGAAUUGGUAGAGUAGGGAGGCUAUGCAUGAUAGGCAUGCUGGCAUCAGUAUACUCAUACCGUCUUUGUCUGUAAAGUUAUAUUGCUCUAUUUUUCCCAGAGGCCUGCCCUUAGAACCCCCUCAGUAUCAUAUGAAACUACUACUAAUCUCUGCUGCCCUGCAUGCCCAGAUUCAACAUGGACUGCAUUUCUAUGAGUCAUCCCUGCCCAGCAGUAGGGGUUGAGUAUGUCCAUACCCGAGACUUCUCCUCCAACCGGGUCAUCAUGACAAUAGUUGCUGUGCGUUGUUCCCACACCAUCCUCCAGAAGUCACUGAGUGUCUCUGGCAGAGGUCCCUGUGUAGCAAUAUAUGCAUUCUGCUUGCGGUAGCCAUCAAUGUAAUUCGCAUUGAUGUAGUCACUUCCAGGAACACCUGAAUGACAGAGAAAGAAUGAAAGGGGAUUGAGAAGACAAGGGAGUAGCCAGAAUCCUAGGCCAGUUGGAAGAGGAAACAGACUGUUUAGAUGCUUCACAUAUGAAGUGAUGCUUUUACCAUGCAGACCUCUGGCAGGGUGGAAAUAUAUGUGCCAUACCUAGCCCUGACCUGGUGCCAGGGUUCUUGGAGAACAAACCAGACACGCCACAGGUCAAGGAUCUUGAGGAGCAGGCAGGAUAUCCUGAGAUCAGUGCUCAGGAUCCCCCAGAGGGGCCCUCUGGAGGGAUACCUGCUGAAGAAUGCUUGGAGCUGUAAGAGGAGGAGGUGGAACCACUCCUCAGUCCUCAAGAAUGCUGGUGCCAAAGGCCCAGGCCAAAGAUUAAUGACAUACCA
Long non-coding RNA from Rhineura floridana, 3872 nucleotides. RefSeq lists it as uncharacterized. The transcript has 3 exons. The record is from RefSeq and is a predicted model, not a curated record. Lineage: Eukaryota; Metazoa; Chordata; Lepidosauria; Squamata; Rhineuridae.